RNAcentral lists this microRNA precursor (93 nucleotides) under Strigamia maritima. RNAcentral's name for it is "microRNA mir-598". The record is from RNAcentral. Lineage: Eukaryota; Metazoa; Arthropoda; Chilopoda; Geophilomorpha; Linotaeniidae.
AGUUGAAAAUGGUACCAAAGUUGAAAAUGGUACCAAAGUUGAAAAUGGGUACCAUUUUCAACUUGGGUACCAUUUUCAACUUGGGUAUCAUUA